This 820-nucleotide ribosomal RNA is filed under the name Pseudarthrobacter sp. 2B-B1-18. Its description in RNAcentral is "bacterial SSU rRNA". It matches the Rfam family "Bacterial small subunit ribosomal RNA", at positions 61 to 906 of the family's 1533-position model. The record is from RNAcentral. Lineage: Bacteria; Bacillati; Actinomycetota; Actinomycetes; Micrococcales; Micrococcaceae.
GUCGACGAUGAACCUCACUUGUGGGGGGAUUAGUGGCGAACGGGUGAGUAACACGUGAGUAACCUGCCCUUGACUCUGGGAUAAGCCUGGGAAACUGGGUCUAAUACCGGAUAUGACUCCUCAUCGCAUGGUGGGGGGUGGAAAGCUUUUUGUGGUUUUGGAUGGACUCUCGGCCUAUCAGCUUGUUGGUGAGGUAAUGGCUCACCAAGGCGACAACAGGUAGCCGGCCUGAGAGGGUGACCGGCCACACUGGGACUGAGACACGGCCCACACUCCUACGGGAGGCAGCAGUGGGGAAUAUUGCACAAUGGGCGAAAGCCUGAUGCAGCGACGCCCCGUGAGGGAUGACGGCCUUCGGGUUGUAAACCUCUUUCAGUAGGGAAGAAGCGAAAGUGACGGUACCUGCAGAAGAAACGCCGGCUAACUACGUGCCAGCAGCCGCGGUAAUACGUAGGGCGCAAGCGUUAUCCGGAAUUAUUGGGCGUAAGAGCUCGAGGCGGUUUGUCCGUCUGCGUGAAAGUCCGGGGCUCUCUCCGGAUCUGCGGUGGGUACGGGCAGACUAGAGUGAUGUAUGGGAGACUGGAAUUCCUGGUGUGCGCUGAAUGCGCGAUAUAGGAGGAACACCGAUCGCGAAGGUGGUCUCUGGGCAUUACUGACACUGAGGAGCGAAAGCAUGGGGAGCGAACAGGAUUAGAUACCCUGGUAGUCCAUGCCGUAUACGUUGGGCACUAUGUGUGUGGGACAUUCCACGUUUUCCGCGCCGUAGCUCACGCAUUAUGUGUCCCGCCUCGGGAGUACGGCCGCGAGGCUAAACUCAAGA